UGGGGAAUAUUGGACAAUGGGGGCAACCCUGAUCCAGCAAUGCCGCGUGUGUGAAGAAGGCCUUCGGGUUGUAAAGCACUUUUAUCGGGAACGAAACAUUGUCGGCCAAUACCCGGCAAGACUGACGGUACCCGAGGAAUAAGCACCGGCUAACUCCGUGCCAGCAGCCGCGGUAAUACGGAGGGUGCAAGCGUUAAUCGGAAUUACUGGGCGUAAAGCGUGCGCAGGCGGUUUGUUAAGUCUGUUGUGAAAUCCCCGAGCUCAACUUGGGAAUUGCAAUGGAUACUGGCAGGCUGGAGUAUGGUAGAGGAAGGUGGAAUUCCCGGUGUAGCAGUGAAAUGCGUAGAGAUCGGGAGGAACACCAGUGGCGAAGGCGGCCUUCUGGACCAAUACUGACGCUCAUGCACGAAAGCGUGGGGAGCAAACA
Molecule: ribosomal RNA, 427 nt
Filed under: uncultured bacterium
Lineage: Bacteria
Also listed under: 1 other name
Description: bacterial SSU rRNA
Rfam family: Bacterial small subunit ribosomal RNA
Source: RNAcentral